ACUACGGGUGGCAGCAGUGGGGAAUAUUGGGCAAUGGGCGAAAGCCUGACCCAGCAACGCCGCGUGAAGGAAGAAGGCUUUCGGGUUGUAAACUUCUUUUGACAGGGAAGAGCAGAAGACGGUACCUGUCGAAUAAGCCACGGCUAACUACGUGCCAGCAGCCGCGGUAAUACGUAGGUGGCAAGCGUUGUCCGGAUUUAUUGGGUGUAAAGGGCGUGAAGCCGGGGUGACAAGUCAGAUGUGAAAUCCGGGGGCUCAACCCGCGAACUGCAUUUGAAACUGUUUGUCUUGAGUGUCGGAGAGGCAGGCGGAAUUCCUAGUGUAGCGGUGAAAUGCGUAGAUAUUAGGAGGAACACCAGUGGCGAAGGCGGCCUGCUGGACGACAACUGACGGUGAGGCGCGAAAGCGUGGGGAGCAAACAGGAUUAGAUACCCCUGUAGUC
RNAcentral lists this ribosomal RNA (442 nucleotides) under uncultured bacterium. RNAcentral describes it as "partial 16S ribosomal RNA". It matches the Rfam family "Bacterial small subunit ribosomal RNA", at positions 338 to 795 of the family's 1533-position model. The record is from RNAcentral.